Molecule: ribosomal RNA, 783 nt
Filed under: uncultured bacterium
Lineage: Bacteria
Description: bacterial SSU rRNA
Rfam family: Bacterial small subunit ribosomal RNA
Source: RNAcentral
GAUGCCCUCUGGCGGCGUGCUUAACACAUGCAAGUCGAACGAAGCACUUUUAUUUGAUUUCUUCGGAAUGAAGAUUUUAGUGACUGAGUGGCGGACGGGUGAGUAACGCGUGGGUAACCUGCCUCAUACAGGGGGAUAACAGUUAGAAAUGACUGCUAAUACCGCAUAAGACCACAGCACCGCAUGGUGCAGGGGUAAAAACUCCGGUGGUAUGAGAUGGACCCGCGUCUGAUUAGGUAGUUGGUGGGGUAACGGCCUACCAAGCCGACGAUCAGUAGCCGACCUGAGAGGGUGACCGGCCACAUUGGGUCUGAGACACGGCCCAAACUCCUACGGGAGGCAGCAGUGGGGAAUAUUGCACAAUGGGGGAAACCCUGAUGCAGCGACGCCGCGUGAGCGAUGAAGUAUUUCGGUAUGUAAAGCUCUAUCAGCAGGGAAGAAAAUGACGGUACCUGACUAAGAAGCACCGGCUAAAUACGUGCCAGCAGCCGCGGUAAUACGUAUGGUGCAAGCGUUAUCCGGAUUUACUGGGUGUAAAGGGAGCGUAGACGGAGUGGCAAGUCUGAUGUGAAAACCCGGGGCUCAACCCCGGGACUGCAUUGGAAACUGUCAAUCUAGAGUACCGGAGAGGUAAGCGGAAUUCCUAGUGUAGCGGUGAAAUGCGUAGAUAUUAGGAGGAACACCAGUGGCGAAGGCGGCUUACUGGACGGUAACUGACGUUGAGGCUCGAAAGCGUGGGGAGCAAACAGGAUUACAUACCCUGGUAGUCCACGCCGUAAACGA